UGGUUUGAUUAUGGCUCAGGAUGAACGCUGGCGGCAUGCCUAAUACAUGCAAGUCGAACGGAGUGAAGCCUUCGGGUUUCAUUCAGUGGCGAACGGGUGAGUAAUACGCAGGGAACCUGGCCAUGGCAGGGGGAUACACUCUGGAAACGGAGCAUAAGACCCCAUAGGCAGUAAGGCGGCAUCGCCUUACUGUUAAAGAAAGCUGAAAGGCUUUGGCGAUGGAUGGACCUGCGGUGCAUUAGCUUGUUGGUGAGGCAACGGCUUACCAAGGCGAUGAUGCAUAGCCGGCCUGAGAGGGCGGACGGCCACACUGGGACUGAGACACGGCCCAGACUCCUGCGGGAGGCAGCAGUAGGGAAUUUUCGUCAAUGGGCGCAAGCCUGAACGAGCAAUGCCGCGUGAGUGAGGAAGGUCUUCGGACUGUAAAGCUCUGUUGCCGGGGAAAAAGGGGAAAUGCAGGAAAUGGCAUUUCAUGGAUGGUACCCGGCCAGAAAGCCACGGCUAACUACGUGCCAGCAGCCGCGGUAAUACGUAGGUGGCGAGCGUUAUCCGGAAUGAUUGGGCGUAAAGGGUGCGCAGGCGGUCUGUUAAGUCUGAAGGCAAAGGGAUGAGCUCAACUCAUUUAUGAUUCAGAAACUGGCAGACUUGAGGACAGGAGAGGGCGGUGGAACUCCAUGUGUAGCGGUAAAAUGCGCAGAGAUAUGGAAGAACACCAGUGGCGAAGGCGGCCGCCUGGCCUGUGACUGACGCUGAGGCACGAAAGCGUGGGGAGCAAAUAGGAUUAGAUACCCUAGUAGUCCACGCCGUAAACGAUGAGGAGCAGGUGUUGGGAGUGAAAUCUCAGUGCCGAAGCCAACGCAGUGACUCCUCCGCCUGGGGAGUAUGCACGCAAGUGUGAAACUCAAAGGAAUUGACGGGGGCCCGCACAAGCGGUGGAGUAUGUGGUUUAAUUCGAAGCAACGCGAAGAACCUUACCAGGUUUUGACAUCGGAUGCGAAGGCGCAGAGAUGCGCUGGAGGCUAUCAUCCAGACAGGUGGUGCAUGGUUGUCGUCAGCUCGUGUCGUGAGAUGUUCAGUUAAGUCUGGCAACGAGCGCAACCCCCGUGGUAUGUUACUAACGCUUUAGGGCGAGGACUCAUAUCAGACUGCCGGUGACAAACCGGAGGAAGGCGGGGAUGACGUCAAAUCAUCAUGCCCCUUAUGACCUGGGCUACACACGUAUUACAAUGGCGUCUACAGAGGGAAGCGACCCUGAGAAGGGAAGCGAAACCGGAAAAGGGCGUCCCAGUUCGGAUUGAAGUCUGCAACCCGACUUCAUGAAGAUGGAAUCGCUAGUAAUCGCGGAUCAGCAUGCCGCGGUGAAUACGUUCCCGGGCCUUGUACACACCGCCCGUCAAACCAUGGAAGCCGGCAACGCCCGAAGCCGGUGGCAUAACCUUUUAGGAGUGAGCCGUCGAAGGCGGGGCCGAUGACUGGGGUUAAGUCGUAACAAGGUACCC
RNAcentral lists this ribosomal RNA (1499 nucleotides) under uncultured bacterium. RNAcentral's name for it is "bacterial SSU rRNA". It matches the Rfam family "Bacterial small subunit ribosomal RNA". The record is from RNAcentral.